Molecule: ribosomal RNA, 259 nt
Filed under: uncultured bacterium
Lineage: Bacteria
Description: partial small subunit ribosomal RNA
Rfam family: Bacterial small subunit ribosomal RNA
Source: RNAcentral
AGGACGAACGCUGGCGGCGUGCUUAACACAUGCAAGUCGAGCGAGGCCCUUCCUUCGGGAAGGUGCCCUAGCGGCGAACGGGUGAGUAACACGUGGGCAACCUGCCCCUAGCACUGGGAUAACUCCGGGAAAACCGGGGCUAAUACCGGAUAUGACCUCCGAGGGCAUCCUUGGUGGUGUAAAGGAUUCUGGCUAGGGAUGGGCCCGCGGCCUAUCAGCUUGUUGGUGGGGUAAUGGCCUACCAAGGCGACGACGGGUA